CACGUAGGGUGCGAGCGUUUGUCCGGAAUUAUUGGGCGUAAAGAGCUCGUAGGCGGUGUGUCGCGUCGGCCGUGAAAACCUGCAGCUUAACUGUGGGCUUGCGGUCGAUACGGGCAUCACUGGAGUUCGGCAGGGGGAGACUGGAAUUCCUGGUGUAGCGGUGAAAUGCGCAGAUAUCAGGAGGAACACCGGUGGCGAAGGCGGGGUCUCUGGGCAGUAACUGACGCUGAGGAGCGAAAGCGUGGGGAGCGAACAGG
This 257-nucleotide ribosomal RNA is filed under the name uncultured bacterium. Its description in RNAcentral is "partial 16S ribosomal RNA". It matches the Rfam family "Bacterial small subunit ribosomal RNA", at positions 524 to 776 of the family's 1533-position model. The record is from RNAcentral.